Molecule: ribosomal RNA, 230 nt
Filed under: uncultured bacterium
Lineage: Bacteria
Description: partial 16S ribosomal RNA
Rfam family: Bacterial small subunit ribosomal RNA
Source: RNAcentral
AACGGGUGAGUAACGCGUAAGUAUCUACCCUUGGGUGGAGGAUACCUCUGAGAAAUUGGAGUUAAUCCUGCAUAAGCUUUUAGAAGGAAAGACGGCCUCUUGCUGUCGCCGAAGGAUGAACUUGCGUCUUAUUAGUUUGUUGGUGGGGUAAUGGCCUACCAAGACGAUGAUGAGUAGCCGGCCUGAGAGGGUGUACGGCCACACUGGGACUGAGAUACGGCCCAGACUCC